RNAcentral lists this long non-coding RNA (598 nucleotides) under Sus scrofa (pig). Its description in RNAcentral is "lncRNA (ENSSSCG00040039029.1)". Lineage: Eukaryota; Metazoa; Chordata; Mammalia; Artiodactyla; Suidae. The record is from RNAcentral.
AAUAUCAUUCAUUUUUUUUUUUUAAGGGAGAAGAUGCAAGGUCAUCCACAUAUCCUUUCUCUCUCUCAUUUGCAUUCAGAUAUACUUUCUUGCGUGGUUGCAAAAGGGGCGAUGUUCGAGCUGAUUUAGGAAAUUGCAAAUGAGUGCCACACAUACAGAUGUCAGCUGUCAGCAGGUGCUCCCAGAAGCCUCAUGGAAAACAGAUUAUACUCAGCUCUCUGGGAUCUGAUGAAUCGAUAUAAUAGGAGGGCUUUGAAAAGCAGAAGUGGAACAUCUAGAUUUCAAGAUGGAUCAAGAAAACCGUCGGAGCUUGAGAAGCCACUUUCUCCUUGACCCACACACUGCUUGAUCUCUUGGAAACUGCCAACCCUGGAAAGAAGCAUUUUUGACUUCCCAUCUGGCCUGGAUGAAACACAAAGGGAACUUAAGGCAAGAGAUAUUUUAAUGUCUUUUUCUACUUUCUUUCAGUCUCUGUGAUAGCCACCUAAAUCCACAGGCUGAGGGCUAAUGCAUGUGGAAAGGAAACGAAAUCUUCUCAGCAUGUGUGCUCCUCUGACAUUUUGAUUAGCGCAGAGAAAUUGGAAGGCAGCACAUCCCC